UAAGGAAUAUUGGUCAAUGGACGCAAGUCUGAACCAGCCAUGCCGCGUGGAGGAUGAAGGCCCUCUGGGUUGUAAACUUCUUUUAUCUGGGACGAAACACUUCUUUUCUAGGAAGCUUGACGGUACCAGGUGAAUAAGCACCGGCUAACUCCGUGCCAGCAGCCGCGGUAAUACGGAGGGUGCAAGCGUUAUCCGGAUUCACUGGGUUUAAAGGGUGCGUAGGCGGACAUGUAAGUCCGUGGUGAAAUCUCAGGGCUUAACCCUGAAACUGCCAUGGAUACUAUAUGUCUUGAAUGUUGUGGAGGUUAGCGGAAUAUGUCAUGUAGCGGUGAAAUGCAUAGAUAUGACAUAGAACACCAAUUGCGAAGGCAGCUGGCUACACAAAUAUUGACGCUGAGGCACGAAAGCGUGGGGAUCAAACA
RNAcentral lists this ribosomal RNA (422 nucleotides) under uncultured Chitinophaga sp. RNAcentral's name for it is "bacterial SSU rRNA". It matches the Rfam family "Bacterial small subunit ribosomal RNA", at positions 355 to 774 of the family's 1533-position model. Lineage: Bacteria; Pseudomonadati; Bacteroidota; Chitinophagia; Chitinophagales; Chitinophagaceae. The record is from RNAcentral.